RNAcentral lists this ribosomal RNA (1250 nucleotides) under metagenome. RNAcentral describes it as "bacterial LSU rRNA". It matches the Rfam family "Bacterial large subunit ribosomal RNA", at positions 1635 to 2874 of the family's 2925-position model. The record is from RNAcentral.
UACACGACCGUACCGCAAACCGACACUGGUGCGCGAGAUGAGUAUUCUAAGGCGCUUGAGAGAACUCAGGAGAAGGAACUCGGCAAAUUGACACCGUAACUUCGGAAGAAGGUGUGCCUUUAGUAGGUGAACCAUUUACUUGGGGAGCCCAAUGAGGCUGCAAAAAAUCGGUGGCUGCAACUGUUUAUUAAAAACACAGCACUCUGCUAAGACGAAAGUCGACGUAUAGGGUGUGACGCCUGCCCGGUGCUGGAAGAUUAAAUGAUGGGGUGCAAGCUCUUGAUUGAAGUCCCAGUAAACGGCGGCCGUAACAAUAACGGUCCUAAGGUAGCGAAAUUCCUUGUCGGGUAAGUUCCGACCUGCACGAAUGGCGUAAUGAUGGCCACACUGUCUCCUCCUGAGACUCAGCGAAGUUGAAAUGUUUGUGACGAUGCAAUCUCCCCGCGGAAAGACGGAAAGACCCCAUGAACCUUUACUGUAGCUUUGUAUUGGACUUUGAACAGAUCUGUGUAGGAUAGGUGGGAGGCUUUGAAGUGUGGUCGCUAGAUCGCAUGGAGCCAACGUUGAAAUACCACCCUGGUGUGUUUGAGGUUCUAACCUAGGUCCAUUAUCUGGAUCGGGGACAGUGCAUGGUAGGCAGUUUGACUGGGGCGGUCUCCUCCCAAAGUGUAACGGAGGAGUUCGAAGGUACGCUAGGUACGGUCGGACAUCGUGCUAAUAGUGCAAUGGCAUAAGCGUGCUUAACUGCGAGACUGACAAGUCGAGCAGAUGCGAAAGCAGGACAUAGUGAUCCGGUGGUUCUGUAUGGAAGGGCCAUCGCUCAACGGAUAAAAGGUACUCUGGGGAUAACAGGCUGAUACCGCCCAAGAGUUCAUAUCAACGGCGGUGUUUGGCACCUCGAUGUCGGCUCAUCUCAUCCUGGGGCUGUAGCCGGUCCCAAGGGUAUGGCUGUUCGCCAUUUAAAGAGGUACGUGAGCUGGGUUUAAAACGUCGUGAGACAGUUUGGUCCCUAUCUUCCGUGGGCGCUGCAGAUUUGAGGAAGCCUGCUCCUAGUACGAGAGGACCGGAGUGGACGAACCUCUGGUGUAUCGGUUGUCACGCCAGUGGCAUUGCCGAGUAGCUAAGUUCGGAAGAGAUAACCGCUGAAAGCAUCUAAGCGGGAAACUCGUUUCAAGAUUAGAUCUGCCGGGGCCUUGAGCCCCCUAAAGAGUCGUUCAAGACCAGGACGUUGAUAGGUCAGGUGUGGAAGC